CUUUGUCUGCGGUGCGCGCCGGGCUUUAUAUUUCCUUGAACCAAUGCUCAUUGAGCACGGGCUUGGAACAUGCCAGUUAGGUGAGAGCGUCUCGCGUCAGAUGAACCCGAAGACUGGCUGACCUCGCCCACCUGAACCCCCGGUUCAGGAUGACGGUCCGGCGGCAUUCGCAGACACCUU
This 180-nucleotide non-coding RNA is filed under the name Hydrogenophaga sp. RNAcentral's name for it is "6S RNA". It matches the Rfam family "6S / SsrS RNA". From Rfam's summary of the family: E. coli 6S RNA was the first non coding RNA to be sequenced, but its function was unknown until recently. It consists of 184 nucleotides that fold into an extended hairpin structure with a large single-stranded internal bulge. Lineage: Bacteria; Pseudomonadati; Pseudomonadota; Betaproteobacteria; Burkholderiales; Comamonadaceae. The record is from RNAcentral.